GAUGAACGCUGGCGGCGUGCUUAACACAUGCAAGUCGAACGGUGAACACGGAGCUUGCUCUGUGGGAUCAGUGGCGAACGGGUGAAUAACACGUGAGCAACCUGCCCCUGACUCUGGGAUAAGCGCUGGAAACGGCGUCUAAUACUGGAUAUGUGACGUGACCGCAUGGUCUGCGUUUGGAAAGAUUUUUCGGUUGGGGAUGGGCUCGCGGCCUAUCAGCUUGUUGGUGAGGUAAUGGCUCACCAAGGCGUCGACGGGUAGCCGGCCUGAGAGGGUGACCGGCCACACUGGGAUUGAGACACGGCCCAGACUCCUACGGGAGGCAGCAGUGGGGAAUAUUGCACAAUGGGCGAAAGCCUGAUGCAGCAACGCCGCGUGAGGGAUGACGGCCUUCGGGUUGUAAACCUUUUUUAGCAGGGAAGAAGCGAAAGUGACGGUACCUGCAGAAAAAGCGCCGGCUAACUACGUG
This 469-nucleotide ribosomal RNA is filed under the name uncultured bacterium. RNAcentral describes it as "partial 16S ribosomal RNA". It matches the Rfam family "Bacterial small subunit ribosomal RNA", at positions 28 to 507 of the family's 1533-position model. The record is from RNAcentral.